RNAcentral lists this ribosomal RNA (283 nucleotides) under uncultured bacterium. Its description in RNAcentral is "partial 16S ribosomal RNA". It matches the Rfam family "Bacterial small subunit ribosomal RNA", at positions 29 to 291 of the family's 1533-position model. The record is from RNAcentral.
AACGAACGCUGGCGGCGUGCCUGAGACAUGCAAGUCGUGGGAGAAAGUCGGAGCAAUCCGGCUAGUAAACCGGCGCACGGGUGAGUAACACGUGGACAACCUGCCUUGGAGUUCGGGAUAACCCGGUCGAAAGACGGACUAAUACCGGAUAUGACCACGGGGAGUUCGCUCUCUGAGGUAAAAGAUGGCCUCUGCUCCUGCAAGCUAUCUCUUCGAGAGGGGUCCNCGUCCAUCAGCUAGUUGGUGAGGUAACGGCUCACCAAGGCUAAGACGGGUAGCUGGU